This 84-nucleotide non-coding RNA is filed under the name unclassified sequences. RNAcentral describes it as "RT-18 RNA". It matches the Rfam family "RT-18 RNA". Rfam says of the family: Clostridiales (Firmicutes). Nearby to self-splicing intron genes The record is from Rfam by way of RNAcentral.
CACCCCACGGUGAAGAUAGGCAUUUUGGGAGCGGGCUAGUACACCCCGCAAGGGGCGCUGGAACGUCCGUACAGCUAAAAGGAG